AGAGUUUGAUCAUGGCUCAGAUUGAACGCUGGCGGCAUGCCUUACACAUGCAAGUCGAACGGUAACAGGUCUUCGGAUGCUGACGAGUGGCGAACGGGUGAGUAAUACAUCGGAACGUGCCCGAUCGUGGGGGAUAACGGAGCGAAAGCUUUGCUAAUACCGCAUACGAUCUACGGAUGAAAGCAGGGGACCGCAAGGCCUUGCGCGGACGGAGCGGCCGAUGGCAGAUUAGGUAGUUGGUGGGAUAAAAGCUUACCAAGCCGACGAUCUGUAGCUGGUCUGAGAGGACGACCAGCCACACUGGGACUGAGACACGGCCCAGACUCCUACGGGAGGCAGCAGUGGGGAAUUUUGGACAAUGGGCGAAAGCCUGAUCCAGCCAUGCCGCGUGCAGGAUGAAGGCCUUCGGGUUGUAAACUGCUUUUGUACGGAACGAAAAGACUCCUUCUAAUAAAGGGGGUUCAUGACGGUACCGUAAGAAUAAGCACCGGCUAACUACGUGCCAGCAGCCGCGGUAAUACGUAGGGUGCAAGCGUUAAUCGGAAUUACUGGGCGUAAAGCGUGCGCAGGCGGUUAUAUAAGACAGAUGUGAAAUCCCCGGGCUCAACCUGGGAACUGCAUUUGUGACUGUAUAGCUAGAGUACGGCAGAGGGGGAUGGAAUUCCGCGUGUAGCAGUGAAAUGCGUAGAUAUGCGGAGGAACACCGAUGGCGAAGGCAAUCCCCUGGGCCUGUACUGACGCUCAUGCACGAAAGCGU
RNAcentral lists this ribosomal RNA (757 nucleotides) under uncultured bacterium. RNAcentral's name for it is "bacterial SSU rRNA". It matches the Rfam family "Bacterial small subunit ribosomal RNA", at positions 8 to 762 of the family's 1533-position model. The record is from RNAcentral.